GAUGAACGCUGGCGGCGUGCCUAAUACAUGCCAGUCGAGCGAACGGACGAGAAGCUUGCUUCUCUGAUGUUAGCGGCGGACGGGUGAGUAACACGUGGAUAACCUACCUAUAAGACUGGGAUAACUUCGGGAAACCGGAGCUAAUACCGGAUAAUAUUUUGAACCGCAUGGUUCAAAAGUAAAAGACGGUCUUGCUGUCACUUAUAGAUGGAUCCGCGCUGCAUUAGCUAGUUGGUAAGGUAACGGCUUACCAAGGCAACGAUGCAUAGCCGACCUGAGAGGGUGAGCGGCCACACUGGAACUGAGACACGGUCCAGACUCCUACGGGAGGCAGCAGUAGGGAAUCUUCCGCAAUGGGCGAAAGCCUGACGGAGCAACGCCGCGUGAGUGAUGAAGGUCUUCGGAUCGUAAAACUCUGUUAUUAGGGAAGAACAUAUGUGUAAGUAACUGUGCACAUCUUGACGGUACCUAAUCAGAAAGCCACGGCUAACUACGUG
Molecule: ribosomal RNA, 497 nt
Filed under: uncultured bacterium
Lineage: Bacteria
Description: partial 16S ribosomal RNA
Rfam family: Bacterial small subunit ribosomal RNA
Source: RNAcentral